Carassius carassius (crucian carp) is the source of this 527-nucleotide long non-coding RNA. RefSeq lists it as uncharacterized. NCBI's taxonomy places the organism in Eukaryota, Metazoa, Chordata, Actinopteri, Cypriniformes, Cyprinidae. The transcript is spliced from 3 exons. The record is from RefSeq and is a predicted model, not a curated record.
ACGACACCCCCUCAGCUCUGAACGUCGGAGACACCGACAAUAGCAAAGCAUCCACUGACCCGCUCCUUGCUGGACUGGUGUCAGCAUUCAUCGUCGUCGCUGCCAUCGUUUCGGUCCUCAUAUUCCUCAAAUUCAGAAACACAAAUGAUGGUCCAGAGUUUCGCAGACUUCAAGAUCUCCCCAUGGAUGAUAUGCUGGAGGACGCCCCUCUCUCCAUGUACAGCUACUGAAAUCCCAGAUGUUCCUCAGACAUCUUCAGAGCACCCAACAUCCUCCGAUCAACAGAACACAGACACAUUUAAAUGGCUGAUGUGCUUCACAAACACUUCUGUACAGGACUAAAUGUAGCCUAAUACUCCACUUUAGUUGUUAAAUUCACCAUGGCCAUCAGUUCCUGGCUGUUGAGUAGUUUUCUUGCACUUUAUGUGAGGUUUGGGCUGCAGGAAUAUUUGGAGUAGAAUGUAGAAACUAAUUUUCAUUUUUGGGUGAAUUAUUCCUUGAAAGAAAUGUUCCAAGUUCACAACACA